AAGUCGUAACAAGGUUUCCGUAGGUGAACCUGCGGAAGGAUCAUUACCAAUAUAGCGAACCGAGCGUUAGCGAGGCUUCGCGAUCAAAUUUGUAUUUAAAACCCAACUCUUUAAAUGUAUAUAUUAUUGUAUUUUAAAUAAUAAAGAUCACUUUCAACAACGGAUCUCUUGGUUCUC
This 177-nucleotide unclassified non-coding RNA is filed under the name Glomus indicum. RNAcentral describes it as "partial internal transcribed spacer region". The stretch from base 1 to 46 matches the Rfam family "Eukaryotic small subunit ribosomal RNA", at positions 1786 to 1831 of the family's 1831-position model. RNAcentral also lists the same sequence under 2 other names. Lineage: Eukaryota; Fungi; Glomeromycota; Glomeromycetes; Glomerales; Glomeraceae. The record is from RNAcentral.